Molecule: ribosomal RNA, 983 nt
Filed under: uncultured Verrucomicrobiota bacterium
Lineage: Bacteria; Pseudomonadati; Verrucomicrobiota
Description: bacterial SSU rRNA
Rfam family: Bacterial small subunit ribosomal RNA
Source: RNAcentral
UUUCUCAAUGGGGGAAACCCUKAAGGAGCGACGCCGCGUGGGGGAUGAAUGGCUUUGGCCCGUAAACCCCUGUCAUUUGCGAUCAAACCUUACGACCAAACACGUCGUAAGCUGAUAGUAGCGGAAGAGGAAGGGACGGCUAACUCUGUGCCAGCAGCCGCGGUAAUACAGAGGUCCCAAGCGUUGUUCGGAUUCACUGGGCGUAAAGGGUGCGUAGGCGGUCGGGUAAGUCUGACGUGAAAUCUUCAAGCUCAACUUGGAAACUGCGUCGGAUACUAUUCGGCUAGAGGAAUGGAGGGGAGACUGGAAUACUUGGUGUAGCAGUGAAAUGCGUAGAUAUCAAGUGGAACACCAGUGGCGAAGGCGAGUCUCUGGACAUUUCCUGACGCUGAGGCACGAAAGCCAGGGGAGCAAACGGGAUUAGAUACCCCGGUAGUCCUGGCCCUAAACGGUGCACGUUUGCUGUAAGAGGAAUCGACCCCUUUUGUGGCGAAAUUAACGCGUUAAACGUGCCGCCUGGGAAGUACGGCCGCAAGGUUAAAACUCAAAGAAAUUGACGGGGGCCUGCACAAGCGGUGGAGUAUGUGGCUUAAUUCGAUGCAACGCGAAGAACCUUACCUGGCCUUGACAUGCACAUAGUAGAAGCCUGAAAGGGUGACGAGGUAGCAAUACCAGUGUGCACAGGUGCUGCAUGGCUGUCGUCAGCUCGUGUCGUGAGAUGUUGGGUUAAGUCCCGCAACGAGCGCAACCCCUGUGUCCUGUUGCCACCCCUUAACUGGGAGCACUCUGGACAGACUGCCUCGCUUCAACGAGGAGRAAGGUGGGGAUGACGUCAAGUCAGUAUGGCCCUUACGGCCAGGGCUGCACACGUACUACAAUGCCCGGCACAAAGGGAAGCAAGACCGUCAGGUGGAGCAAAUCCCAAAAAACCGGGCCCAGUUCAGAUUGUCGUCUGCAACUCGACGACAUGAAGCUGGAACGCU